UGGUUUUCAGGAAUGAAUCUGCUCAGAACUGGCUGAGAUCCCAUUGAUUGUUAUGCAAUGCUUGGAGGACAUUUUAAGCUUGUAUCCAAGUUUUCACCGUGGAAUGAACCUGUUUAUCACUGGCUGAGAUAUCAACAAGAACUCAGC
This is a long non-coding RNA of Telopea speciosissima, 147 nucleotides long. RefSeq lists it as uncharacterized. Lineage: Eukaryota; Viridiplantae; Streptophyta; Magnoliopsida; Proteales; Proteaceae. The record is from RefSeq and is a predicted model, not a curated record. The transcript has 3 exons.